RNAcentral lists this ribosomal RNA (442 nucleotides) under uncultured bacterium. Its description in RNAcentral is "partial 16S ribosomal RNA". It matches the Rfam family "Bacterial small subunit ribosomal RNA", at positions 338 to 795 of the family's 1533-position model. The record is from RNAcentral.
CCUACGGGAGGCAGCAGUGGGGAAUAUUGGGCAAUGGGCGCAAGCCUGACCCAGCAACGCCGCGUGAAGGAAGAAGGCUUUCGGGUUGUAAACUUCUUUUGACAGGGAAGAGUAGAAGACGGUACCUGUCGAAUAAGCCACGGCUAACUACGUGCCAGCAGCCGCGGUAAUACGUAGGUGGCAAGCGUUGUCCGGAUUUACUGGGUGUAAAGGGCGUGUAGCCGGGUUGACAAGUCAGAUGUGAAAUCCUGCGGCUUAACCGCAGAACUGCAUUUGAAACUGUUGAUCUUGAGUACUGGAGAGGCAGACGGAAUUCCUAGUGUAGCGGUGAAAUGCAGAGAUAUCGCGCAGAACCCCGAUUGCGAAGGCAGCGUGCCGUGCCGCCACUGACGCUGAGGCACGAAAGCGCGGGGAUCGAACAGGAUUAGAUACCCGUGUAGUC